CUGUGUCGCCCAUGCAGCUGGGCCGCCUCUGUGGCGGGCCAUGCGCCCGAGCUGGCUCCGUGCCGCGGAGCCUCUGGGGGCCCCGCCCGUGGCCACUGCUCGGUGGUGCUGGAAAGAAGUUGACGGAUGAUGCUGGGAUUAUGCCCUCGGGGGUGAUUGUCAUUUCAGACGUGUUGGUCGAAAACACGGCCAUCUUCAUGUGCAAAUGUUGUAACCUUUUUUCACCCAGCCAGUCGGAGCUCCUGUCCCAUGUUUCUGAGAAGCACACAGAAGAAGGUGUUAAUGUUGAUGAAAUCAUCAUUCCCCUCAGACCUCUGAGUACUCCUGAGCCCACUAACCCAAGCAAAAGCGGAGAUGAGUUUUCGGUCAUGAAGAGGAAGAGAGGCAGGCCCAAGGGCUCCACGAAGAAGCCCAGCGCCGAGGAGGAGCUGGUGGAAAGCGCCGUGGGUCUGAGCGAGGACAGUCCGCCGGCCCCCGGGGAGGGCAGCGGCCUGGCUCCCAGCAGCUUGGAGUGCAGCAAGUGCUGUCGAAAGUUCUCCAACCCUCGCCAGCUGAGGAAGCACAUCUGCAUCAUUGUGCUGAAUUUGGACGAGGAGGAUGGAGAAGCAGGUGAUGAAUCUGACCUUGAACUGGAAAGGAAGUACAAGGAAGAUGAUCGAGAAAAGACCCCGAGGAGGCCGCGGACACAGAGGACAGAGAAAGUCCAGAAGAUCCCCUCGGGAAAGGAGGCCGGGCAGAUUUCCGGAGUGAAGAAACCCAUCAUAAGUGUGGUUUUAACGGCCCACGAAGCUAUUCCAGGUGCUACCAAGAUUGUUCCAGUGGAGGCCGGGCCCCCGGAGACAGGCACUGCCAACCCCGAGGCCACCGUGGCCGACCUGGCGCCUCGGAGAGGGUACCAGGAGUAUGCCAUUCAGCAGACACCGUAUGAGCAGCCCAUGAAGUCCAGCAGGCUAGGGCCCACCCAGCUCAAGAUCUUCACUUGUGAGUACUGCAACAAGGUCUUCAAGUUCAAGCACUCGCUGCAGGCCCACCUGAGGAUCCACACCAACGAGAAGCCCUACAAGUGCCCGCAGUGCAGCUAUGCCAGCGCCAUCAAGGCCAACCUGAACGUGCACCUGCGCAAGCACACCGGCGAGAAGUUCGCCUGCGACUACUGCUCUUUCACCUGCCUGAGCAAGGGGCACCUCAAGGUGCACAUCGAGCGCGUGCACAAAAAGAUCAAGCAGCACUGCCGCUUCUGCAAGAAGAAGUACUCGGACGUGAAGAACCUCAUCAAGCACAUCCGAGACGCGCACGACCCCCAGGACAAGAAGGUCAAGGAGGCCCUGGACGAGCUCUGCCUCAUGACCAGGGAGGGCAAGCGGCAGCUGCUUUACGACUGCCACAUCUGCGAGCGCAAGUUCAAGAACGAGCUGGACCGUGACCGCCACAUGCUGGUGCACGGGGACAAGUGGCCCUUUGCCUGCGAGCUCUGCGGCCACGGGGCCACCAAGUACCAGGCGCUGGAGCUGCACGUCAGGAAGCACCCCUUCGUGUAUGUCUGUGCCGUAUGCCUCAAGAAGUUUGUCAGCUCCAUCCGGCUGCGCUCCCACAUCCGCGAGGCACACGGGGCUGCGCAGGAGCCUGGGGUCUUCACCAGCUCCAUCAACCAGAGCUUCUGCCUGCUGGAGCCCGGCGGGGACAUCCAGCAAGAAGCCUUGGGGGGCCAGCUGCAGCUGGCAGAGGAAGAGUUUGUGUGCCAGGGGGUGAAUGCACCCAAGGAGGCAGCCUGCCCCGGAGACGCUCAGCCUGAGGAGGGACGGAAGGAGACGGAGGCCUCCGUGGACGAGCCUGCCCCACCCGCGCACUUAGCCGCCCCCCAGGCUGAAAGCACUGUCCUGCCACCCUGCGAGCUAGAAGCUGCUGUGGACUCCUCGGACCUUCGCUCGCACUCGGUGGUUUCUGAUGAGUUUUUACUGAAGAAUAAUACCUCCUCUGCUGGGGCUCGCACAGCUCCUGAGGAGACCCUGGAUGCCCCUCACAGAGCCUCCUCCCAGACUCAGGGCGAAGAAGUCACACCACUGCUGUCUGAGGCCAGACGCACGGAAACAAGCCAGGACACGCAGGGUGCCGAGAGCCCCCCGGGGGCGGGGCAGGAAGUGGCUGUCCCCGCAUCUGAAGGACCAGAUCCUGGUAGGUGUCUCAGGUCAAACCCAGGUGAGGCCUCAGACCCUGCUCUGGUAACGGGCGGAGGGGACCUGGCCCUGCCCCAGCCUGACUCUUGCACACCUGCUUCUGAGCACCGGGCUGGCAUCAGCGCGUUCAUGAAGAUCCUGGAUGGUUUACAGAAGAGACGGAUGAACACUAGCUUGUGCGAGAGGAUCCGGAAGGUGUACGGGGACCUGGAGUGUGAAUACUGUGGCAAACUUUUUUGGUACCAGGUGCACUUUGAUAUGCACGUGCGCACCCACACGCGGGAACACCUGUACCAUUGCUCCCAGUGCCAUUAUUCCUCCAUCACCAAAAACUGCCUUAAGCGCCAUGUUAUUCAGAAACACAGUAACAUCUUGCUGAAGUGUCCCACCGACGGCUGUGACUACAACACCCCAGAUAAAUAUAAGCUGCAGGCACAUCUGAAAGUUCACACAGAGCUGCCUUUCCGCUGUGCCCACUGCCACUACUCCUGUAACAUAUCCGGCUCUCUGAAGCGGCACUACAACCGGAAGCACCCCAACGAGGAGUACGCCAACGUGGGCACCGGGGAGCUGGCGGCCGACGCGCUCAUCCAGCAAGGUGGUUUGAAGUGUCCUGUGUGCAGCUUCGUCUACGGCACCAAGUGGGAGUUCAACAGACACUUGAAGAACAAGCAUGGCCUCAAGUUGGUGGAAAAUGAAGGAGAUUCCAAGUGGGAGCCAGCAACAGAAACCCCCGAGGAGCCCUCCACCCAGUACGUGCACAUCACAGAAGCCGAAGAGGACGUUCAGGGCACGCAGGCAGCCGUGGCCGCGCUCCAGGACCUGAGAUACACCUCGGAGAGCGGUGACCGACUUGACCCCACGGCUGUGAACAUCCUCCAGCAGAUCAUCGAGCUGGGUACUGAGGCCCAUGACGCCACUGCCGUGGCCUCGGUGGUGGCCAUGGCUCCAGGGACGGUGACGGUCGUGAAACAGGGCCGGCGUGGGCAGGGCGAGCUCUCUCACACCCCAGCGCUCUGGCCUCUGCUUCUUCGCCUUCUCUCAGCCGGACCCUCCGGUCUCAUAAGGACCCUCGUGAUUCCGUGAUGCCCACCUGGAUAAUCCGGGAUUAUCUCCCCAUCUCAAGCUUCUUAGUCUCAUCUACAGAGUUCCCUUCCUCGUGCAAGGUUCUUGAGGGGGCCAUGGUUGAGAAGAGGCUGGCAGGACCACACCGACCCCAGGAGUCCUCUGCUGAGCACCAACACUCCACUUGAAUCCCCAGGCCAAGAGCAACUGGAUGGUUCUUACUGCAUCUCCUCCCGUUAUGUGACUGUUUCACUGGUGACUAUGAUUAGUGGUUCUCUGUUGGCAGGACUGUAUCUCUGUCCACACAGAGCAUCUUGCUUACAGCCCAGGAGUCAUGCUCUGGGGCUGGGGGGUGGUGCACCCACUCCUUACUCCUGGGUCUCUGCAACCUGGAGUAGCUUCUCUUCUGUUCAUUAUUUUCCCUUGAUGUGCUGGACAUGUCCAAGCUGUCAGCCUCUGCCCCAGUGGCCGGGAACAGCUGAAAGGAGCAACAGACAUGGUCUCAGACCUGCAGGCACCCUGCCCACUUCCCCUACACAGGCCUUUGGCCUGGCAUGGUGCAGCAUUGUGCUGCCAUAAUCUUGUUCAGAAUCCAAAUGCUCUGACCACGUGCUAUAACUGCUGAUUUAAGAAACAAACGUAGAAAUUCCAGAUUUGCCCAAAGCAGUCCCCCUUCUCCCAGAUGCUUCCACAUGCCCUUUGGCAUUUCUGGGCAGGUCCUCUGGGGUGGUUGGCGCUGGAGAGUGAAGCUGAUGUGUCAGCCAGGAGGAGAGGAGCACGCCAAGCCUCCAUGGGCUCAGUGCAUAGCGCUUCGUCCGAGAGGCAAUUUUGGGAGCAGUUCUUGCUGUAGGACAUGUGUUGGUUGCCAGCCAGCACUAGAAUUUCUCUUUAUCAUUUGCAGUUCAUUAUUUUUGCAAGGAAAUGCAGCCCAUAGCUACGGCCAACGACGAGCACCGCUCGCCUGCUUGCAAGGAAGCGCAGGUCCAGCCUGUUCUGUUUUGAAUCGAAGGCCCUGAGUCCCUGGUCUCCCGACGCCCUGUCGUGCUGUCCACGUGUACCAGGGCGUCUGGUGGGAGGGGAUGCUCUGCAGGAGGCGCUUCUCCAGUGCAGCCUCUGGAAGGAGACGCCUCGCGCCCGUGUUCCUGCUGGAGGGGAGGAUGUGAGGGCGAUCUGGCUGCGACAUCUGUCACCCCAUUGAUUGCCGGGGUUGAUUCGGCUGAUGUGGCUGGCUAGGCGGUGUCCCCUUCCUCCCUUACCGCUCCAUGUGCGUCCCUCCUGAAGCUGUGCGCUCCGUCGAGGAGGACGACCUUCCCCGAUAGAGGAGGACCGUUCUUCGGUCAAGGAUAUACGAGUAGCUAUGCUCCCCUGCUAGAACUUCCAAACAAGCUCUCAAGGUCCUGCUGGAGGGGAGCCCGGAAUUGGCCUCCUCUGGGGGCGGAUGUUGAGCCUUUCAUAAUAGUUGGGGCAAAAUUCAAGGGAGGGGAAUUUGGAAGUGACUUACGUGAGACUUCAAAAUCUAUUUUCAGUGCUUUAAAAACGGUCACUGCGUUCUGUUAAUUUGAUUGUUGAAACGCACGGCAAGAGACGGACUGCAGGAUCUCAUUGGCGUGGGAGCCUCUUGCCAUCCUUGGGAGGUCACAGAAGGUGUCGGCUAUCUGUGUUAUAUUUGUCAUAAAGCGGGACUGAGUUGAGAUCUCUCCUCUUCCCCUCCCCCGCCAAAGGGACCAGGAGAAGCCCUUCCUGUUUUGUUAUCCCUUUAAGUUCAAAUAAUUGGUGAGUUACUGGAUUUUUCUUGUUCCAGUGGGAGGCGCUUUUUAACUCCUGCGGUGAGCAGACCUUUCCCUGAAUUCAGCACCGCCGCCCACCCCAUGUGGUGGGAAUAACCAGAGAGCCUCUCCCACUUUCCUCUGCUCUCCUCUCCCCUUCGGAACCCCGUUUGUCUUCAGAUCGCUUGCCCGAGCGCUUGAGACAUUUUAAGAGCGGAGUUUCCUCCUUCUGCGUCGCAGUGAAACCCUGGCAUGUUCAGUUGUCUUGUUGGUUCUCCUUUCCCAUCGUGGUGGUUUUGCCAUUGUUGUGGUUCACGUAAGGUAUCUUUCCAGAAGCUCAGGAAUAGAUAUAUAUGAUUUUAAACGGAUGGUAAGUGUAGCUGCUUGUGUCCUGUGGUAGGAACCUCGCAUCUGUGCUGUGCUUACUGGUUCUGUAGGAGAAUUACAAUGAUGAGGGAUUCAAAUGCCUUUGGAAGACCCAUGGCAAGGGAGUCCUAGGUUUUUCAUAGGCGAUCACGUCUGUUGUGUGGUUGCAGGGGCCGAGAGCAUAUGUGUCCACUAUGCUUCCUACCCCUCCGAGGAUCUAACACCAGACUCUGUUAGGACACUGAUCGAUGCCUCCAAUCCAUAUAGACAUCUUUUAUCUUUUAUUCCCAGUUCUUUUGAGCUUUAUCUUGGCAGUGGGUUACUCUCCCUUGUCACUUAAUGCCAACUCUUGUCCUUUGUAAGCCUUCCAUGGUGCUCCCUUAGCCAUUUGAAUGUCUUCUCUCUGUUUUAAAUAAAACUUUCGGAGACCUCGUUUUCUGCUAUGAUUUCUGGUGGCUGAUAGGAAAAAUUGCAUCCUCAUUCUCAUCUCUCUUAUUACUUGCUGAGCUCCUUUAUCCCCUGGUAGUGAUGGAAAAUUCCACUUCUUUGUGAAAUUUUAAAGUAAAAAUAAGUGCCGUGAUCUGCCUCUGGCCAUGUGGGAAAUUGUCUGAAAAAAUAGUGGAUAAAGGUUUCCCGAUUUCAUUCUGGCCCUUGUGCUCAUUUAGAGCAUCUUUAGCAGGCCUGGAGAGGUCAGGCUUUUGAACUUUUCUUCUCUUUUCUCUUCCUUUCCCUAAGCCCUGAUUUUCCUACCUUUGAGCACCAGGAAGCUGCAGCUUGGUUGGAGCUAUUUGCAGGAUCCCACUUUAUUUGAGUUUCAGUAGUGUUGAGGUGAUUGCUGUUUGCUGGGUGCCCGGUUCCUGGGCCACAGCCUGGGCCGGGGCAGGUGGGUUUGAUGUGACUCCUCCCGUCUCUGCGCUUGCCCUGGCCGGCUGAAAUCACUCGCUCUGUCUCAGGUUUGCAGCAGAGGCGGGGCUGUGAGAGCUCUGAUACGGGGGAGCCAGGGCUGGGGGCCCCACCUGAAGGAGAUGUGGUCCUGGCCUUCCUGGAGCGUGUCCCAGGGCAGUGCUGCCACCAGCUGGGUCUGCUUUUCAUUCCCACUGGAGCAGUGGUCUCCAUCCUGCUCAGAGGAGCUCCCCAAAACAAGCGCUCGGGACCUCACAGCCCUCCCUCCUCAGCUCUUUCAGCUUCCCCAUCCUGUGAGUGCACACUCUCCACCCCAGUGCUCAGGCCGAAACCUGGGGGUCCGUGUUACCCCCACAUGUGAUUGUCAGCACGUCCUCCCCUUGCCGUGGGAUCUCCCCCCACAACACACCUCACAUGUCCCCAUGUCCCAAGGCUGCCACCUCCAUCUGAGCAGCUUCUUCUCCAGAUGUGGUCCCCGGACCAGUGGCGUUGGCUUCAGGGAGCUUGUUAGAAACACAGAGGCUCUGGCUAUACCCCAGACCUCCCAAGUCAGACUGCACGUUACCCCUGUCCCUGGUCCCCCUUGAUUCGUGUGCGUGGCAGAGUCUGAGAAGCUCUCCCCAUGCUGGUUUACAGACCUUCUCUUCACUUGUCUCCUUCCCUCCACUUGUGCUGCUCUCAGAUCCAGUUUCCACAUAGCACAGAGUGAGCUGUUCAAAAUGUAAACCAGAUUCCAGCAUUCCUCACUUAAAACCCUCUAGUAAUGUAGGAAGUUUCCAGUAAACUGGGAACAGGACCUCACCGUGGCCUCCCCAUAGCAGCCUGGCCCUGCUGCCUCGCUCCACCCUCUUGCUUAUUUUGCACCUGCGCACUGGGCUGCCUUCUGAUCCUCUGUUCCCACCAUCAUUCUCUCUGCCCAGAAUGCUCGUCACCUUCCUCUGCGAGGCUCACUUUCUGUUGUUUAGUGUCAGCUGGAAGGCCACACUCUCAGCCCUCUCUGACCUCUCAAGUCCACAUUGGGACUUCUCCGGGACCUGUGGACAUGCUGAGCCCUUCUCCUCUGAUUGUGUCAUUAGAUGGUGCAGGUGGCCGCGAGGUAGGAAGAGUAGCCAGGUGGGCCUCGUCUAGUCCCUGGAGCCCUGGAAAGCUGAGAACUUCUCACCUGAUGGCAGACUUCCGUGAGAUUAGAAGCGGAAGGAUUUGUGUCUUUGCAUCUUCAGCCACUCCCUGUGUGGUCAUUGGUUUUAAUGAGCACCGUCCAAUGCAGAUGAGAAGUGAAGGGCAGUUCAUAUCAGGCAGGCCAGCAACACUGCACGGUGUGGGACUCUGGUCAGAGUACAACCCCACUCUCCCCAAACCCCCCCAUUUGAUGCCUUUAAUGCAGAGGGCAAAGGCGUGAGUGUAGGCACACGAGGAUGUGGUCUGUAACAAAGGCCCCAAGAACGGUAAUGAGUGCCCCCCCCCACCUUCCAGUUUCUCCACUGCUGGAGGACAGGAGAGCGCUGGCCCCCCGCCCAGGUGCAGCCCCUGGGUACUACCCCCUUCCUCAUUUCCUAACUGGGGAGGAAGGUUGACAGUCGGACCAUGGAUUCAGGGGACUGUCCCCAACAAGCCCACAGGUUAGGCUCCCACUUCGAGCGUCUGCUUUUCCAUGGAAGCCACAUCUCUCAGAUCUCCCACUUCCCAGGGUCACCGUGCGCAGAGCAGGAAGGACAUACCGCCACCCACUUCCCUCCCGUUACAGAUGGCAGGAGUGGGGGGUGAACAUGGGGCUGCUCCUGGGGGAAGCGGGAAGGCCACCGAUGCCUCCAGGCCUUCCCUCUGACUGUAGGUAGUACCCAGGGGCCUCACCUGGUGGGGGAGCUGUCCUGUCUUCCAUCAGCGGAGAGACAGGAGGUGGGGAGGGGGGCCCACUCAUUACCGUUCUUGGGGCCUUUGUCACAGACCACAUGCUCACGGACCUGUACGCACGCCUUUGCUUUCCGCAUCAGGUCGGGGCUCAGGGAGAGCGAGCUUGGCUCUCCUUCCUCUGUGGGAUCUCCAGCACUUGGCUCAGGGCCUGGCAUGUUUGGAGGCUUCCCGAGUGCUCAGAAUCAUGAACGGAGGAUCCAACGUCGGACAUCCAAGGCGGGUGGGCUCGGGUGCCUUCCUCAUGGGCUGCAGCUGCUCUGGGGGCCUGCCACGGGAACUGCAGGCCUCUGAGAUGGAGGCCUCCCGGGAGGCUCAGCACACAGGGUGUCUCCUGAGAAGCCGACCUCAUGAGAGUCGCCCCCGGCCGUGUCACGUAGUUGGAGGAGCCCGUGGCAAAGCCGGGAGGGUAACACGUGGCUAAAAGGGAGCCAGCCUGCAUGGGUGUGAACACCUGUCACAUAAUGGUAUGUGACCUGGGACAAAGCACUUCUCCUCUUUGAACUUCUGUUUUCUUAUCCGUAAAAUGGGAAAAUACUAGAACCUACUCCAUAGGGCUAGCAUACAGAUUACAUGUGAUUAUGCACAUGAAGUCUUAGGACGGUUUCAGUAAAUCUUAGCUUCCUGUCCUAGGAGUAACGUUGCUCCUUAUCCCUUUUCUGUGCGUGUAGAAUUCAGCCAUAGCUGUUUCUGCUUCUGGAAGUUUCUUUUUUUUUUUUUUGGUUAAGAUUUAUUUAUUUAUUUGACAGAGAGAGACAGCCAG
RNA transcript from Ailuropoda melanoleuca (giant panda), 8945 nucleotides. It is a transcript of the gene named zinc finger and AT-hook domain containing, with no coding region annotated. The record is from RefSeq and is a predicted model, not a curated record. The transcript has 13 exons. NCBI's taxonomy places the organism in Eukaryota, Metazoa, Chordata, Mammalia, Carnivora, Ursidae.